ACGCCUUUCUGCGCGGGCGGCGGCGGCGGCCGGAGCGGCGAGCAUGGCCCGCGCCGCGCCGGGCGCUGACUGAGGUCACAGGAAGCUGGGAGUGGGACCCUGAAAGAACUCGAGUUCUGUCCUUAGAUGUUGGGCAUGCAGCAGGCAAAGGGAGAAUGAGAGGAGACAAGGACCUGGCUUCCCAUCUACAGACUGUUCAGCCAAGGCCAUGCCUAGAGUGGGAUCUGCUAAAUGGGCACAGCAGAACAUUGGAAGAAGCACCUUUGAGCCAGUGCUGCUGGGGUCUCCGUGGAUUAGAGCCAGGAGCCCUGAUGAGGCCUGUGGGCGGGGCUUCACUUUCGACCCUGAGAAGCCAACUCCACAUCUCCUUCCCUCUCACCCUUGAGCCGUGGGUAGUUCAGGGAGGCCACAGCCUUCUUUCUGUGCCAUGGCCUAUCCCAAAGUCACCUCCACUCACAACGUCGUGACCUUAGGGUCGUGCUGCGGCAGCCUGGCGCCCGACAUGUGAAGGGGAACCUGCCAGGGGAUUACUGUGAGCUAACAGCAGGAUAGGCUGG
RNAcentral lists this small RNA (557 nucleotides) under Pan troglodytes (chimpanzee). Its description in RNAcentral is "processed transcript". Lineage: Eukaryota; Metazoa; Chordata; Mammalia; Primates; Hominidae. The record is from RNAcentral.